Molecule: ribosomal RNA, 401 nt
Filed under: uncultured bacterium
Lineage: Bacteria
Description: bacterial SSU rRNA
Rfam family: Bacterial small subunit ribosomal RNA
Source: RNAcentral
UCGGGAAUUUUGCCCAAUGAGCGAAAGCUUGAGGCAGCAACUCCGCGUGAGGGAUGAAGGCUCUCGGGUCGUAAACCUCUUUUCUCAGGGAAGAUCCAAGACGGUACCUGAGGAAUAAGCCACGGCUAACUACGUGCCAGCAGCCGCGGUAAUACGUAGGUGGCAAGCGUUGUCCGGAUUUACUGGGCGUAAAGAGCGCGCAGGCGGCUGGUCAAGUCCGAUGUGAAAUCUUCCGGCUCAACUGGGAAACUGCAUCGGAAACUGAUCGGCUUGAAGGUGGGAGAGGGUAGUGGAAUUCCCGGUGUAGUGGUGAAAUGCGUAGAUAUCGGGAGGAACACAAGUGGCGAAGGCGACUACCUGGCCCACUCUUGACGCUGAGGCGCGAAAGCUAGGGGAGCAAA